CGUCUCACCGCUGCAGAUACUCGUCGUUUGCCACUCCUCCAGGACCUCAACGCACUUGAAGAAAUAAAAAAAUUGUCAAAUAAUUUUUCAUUCAUUUUUAUGGAAAAAAGCUAUUUUUCAGAUGGAGAAUUUGAGUUUUUUGGAUGGAGUUGAAAAUUUAAGUUUUUUUAUAUCAUUGAAAAGCUGUUGACUGUUUCGAACGACGUCGAAAAAUUUGGACUUUUAAGGAAUGUCGGAAGGAUCGUAUUUUAUGGGUGUCUGAAUUGGGUCGAUUUUUUACUUCCUAAUGAAAGAUACAGUCACUUUUAAUUCAUGUAAUAUUAAUUCGAAAUUGUAAAUAAAUUUGUUCAACUUA
Long non-coding RNA from Venturia canescens, 355 nucleotides. RefSeq lists it as uncharacterized. The transcript is spliced from 2 exons. NCBI's taxonomy places the organism in Eukaryota, Metazoa, Arthropoda, Insecta, Hymenoptera, Ichneumonidae. The record is from RefSeq and is a predicted model, not a curated record.